GACAGAGGAUGCAAGCGUUAUCCGGAAUGAUUGGGCGUAAAGCGUCUGUAGGUGGCUUUUUAAGUUUGCCGUCAAAUCCCAGGGCUCAACCCUGAAGGUGUAUCUCAAACUACUAAACUUGAGGAUGGUAGAGGCAAGUGGAAUUCCAGGUGUAGGAGUGAAAUCCGUAGAUAUCUGGAGGAACACCAAUGGCGAAGGCAGCUUGCUGGGCCAUUCCUGACACUGAGGCACGAAAGCGUGGGGAGCGAACCGG
Molecule: ribosomal RNA, 253 nt
Filed under: uncultured bacterium
Lineage: Bacteria
Description: partial 16S ribosomal RNA
Rfam family: Bacterial small subunit ribosomal RNA
Source: RNAcentral